GCGGUGGAUGAUGUGGAUUAAUUCGAUGCAGCGCGAAAACCUUACCUACCUUGACAUGUCUGGAACCUUGGUGAGAGCCGAGGGUGCCUUCGGGAGCCAGAACACAGGUGCUGCAUGGCUGUCGUCAGCUCGUGUCGUGAGAUGUUGGGUUAAGUCCCGCAACGAGCGCAACCCUUGCCAUUAGUUGCUACGAAAGGGCACUCUAAUGGGACUGCCGGUGACAAACCGGAGGAAGGUGGGGAUGACGUCAAGUCCUCAUGGCCCUUAUAGGUGGGGCUACACACGUCAUACAAUGGCCGGUACAGAGGGUAGCCAACCCGCGAGGGGGGAGCCAAUCCCACAAAGCCGGUCGUAGUCCGGAUCGCAGUCUGCAACUCGACUGCGUGAAGUCGGAAUCGCUAGUAAUCGCGGAUCAGCAUGUCGCGGUGAAUACGUUCCCGGGUCUU
RNAcentral lists this ribosomal RNA (446 nucleotides) under uncultured Diaphorobacter sp. Its description in RNAcentral is "bacterial SSU rRNA". It matches the Rfam family "Bacterial small subunit ribosomal RNA", at positions 929 to 1382 of the family's 1533-position model. The record is from RNAcentral. Lineage: Bacteria; Pseudomonadati; Pseudomonadota; Betaproteobacteria; Burkholderiales; Comamonadaceae.